Molecule: ribosomal RNA, 441 nt
Filed under: uncultured Gammaproteobacteria bacterium
Lineage: Bacteria; Pseudomonadati; Pseudomonadota; Gammaproteobacteria
Description: bacterial SSU rRNA
Rfam family: Bacterial small subunit ribosomal RNA
Source: RNAcentral
GCAAGUCGAGCGGUAACAGAGAGAAGCUUGCUUCUCUGCUGACGAGCGGCGGACGGGUGAGUAAUACUUGGGAAUUUGCCUUUAGGCGGGGGACAACCACGGGAAACUGUGGCUAAUACCGCAUAAUGUCUACGGACCAAAGUGGGGGACCUUCGGGCCUCACACCUAAAGAUGAGCCCAAGCGGGAUUAGCUAGUUGGUGGGGUAAAGGCUCACCAAGGCGACGAUCCCUAGCUGUUCUGAGAGGAUGAUCAGCCACACUGGGACUGAGACACGGCCCAGACUCCUACGGGAGGCAGCAGUGGGGAAUAUUGCACAAUGGGGGAAACCCUGAUGCAGCCAUGCCGCGUGUGUGAAGAAGGCCUUCGGGUUGUAAAGCACUUUCAGCGACGAGGAAGGAGUGUGUGUUAAUAGCGCACAUUAUUGACGUUAGUCGCAGAAG